This 89-nucleotide small nucleolar RNA is filed under the name Monopterus albus (swamp eel). Its description in RNAcentral is "Small nucleolar RNA SNORD70 (ENSMALG00000013067.1)". Lineage: Eukaryota; Metazoa; Chordata; Actinopteri; Synbranchiformes; Synbranchidae. The record is from RNAcentral.
AUGCCUGCUGCCUGUGAUUACACCUGCUAUCUGAAACUUCCAUGUAGCUUUUUCUCAGCAUUCGUCACUACCACUGAGGCAGUAGUCCA